CAUCUAGCUGGAGAGAGAAGGGACAGGUGACCCGAUCGGAGCCCAGCCCAGCCUUCGCCAUGGGGCGAGAGACAGCGAGGGGAGUCGAAGCCGGGGAGGGAAUCGGGGGAGAUCUCUGAGGGAAUCUGGUGAGACACCUUAACAGAAGGAGAUCCUGAGGCUGACUGAAGGGCUUCUGCUCCCUAGAGUCGCAAAGAGAUAUCCAUACCCCUACCAAACAGCCUGCCCACCUCCUCCGGGCGCCCUCGGGGAAGGAGGUGGAAGAGAGACUCGCCUUCCGCUCCUUGAGCCUGUAACAACUCCAUCUGCUCCUGCAACUGGCGGACGUGUGCCUCCAGGUCACGGUUCCGGGCCUCAGCUUCGCGCAGUUGACUACAAGGAAGUAAGGACGCUACAUGGCCUGGAGCUCACCAGGUAGUUCUCAUCCUGGAAGGCGAAGUGCAGCUGUGUGAUCCAGCGCCGGUCGCCAUUCACCAACACAUCCCUCUCUUCACGGAAGCAUGACACCUGCGGGGUACCCUAGGAGCUGCAGCAGGUGAAAGGGGCAGACCUUCCAGGACCUCCCACCACCAGCCCCAUCCCUACCUCGCCUCUCUUCAGCAUGUCCCACUUGUUCAUGAUCUUCAUGGCGUACACUUGGCCUGUCUGCUUCAUCUUCACCACUGCUACCUGAAGGCCGAAACAAGAUGAGAGGGGCUGAGGUGACCAGGAAAAGAGAAGGGUUCCAAACCGGACUCCAUCCCAAGUUCCAGCCAGCCGUGGCACCACCCUCCGAGACAGCACCCGCCCACUGGUCCCGAGCCCCGCCCCCAACCCAGCUCUUAGGUUCUAAGGUUCGGUCAUUCAUCAAUUUCUGAGGCUCCGCCCUGAACCUCUAUGUCCCGCCCACCACCAAUAAGUACCCACUUACGCCCGGCAGCGUUCCCACUGCUACGCGAGGCUCACCUCGCUGAAUGCUCCACGUCCUAUCACUUUCAGAAUCUCGAAGUCAUCCCUCUGCAGUCGGACCUCCUUAAGCUUCCCCACGACAGGCUCCGCUGGGGUGGGGGGAGCAGAACCCAGGGUCGCUGGGACCCACUAAAGACCCGGGGGAAAGUCCCAUCCUCUGUCCCUCAGUCUCCCCUCUCUCCACCUUUGUUUCACUUUAGGACUGUCUUCCCACGGACAUCCCCAAAUAAACACUGUGAGGUCUGAGGGACCCAAAAGUGUC
This is a long non-coding RNA of Otolemur garnettii (small-eared galago), 1210 nucleotides long. RefSeq lists it as uncharacterized. Lineage: Eukaryota; Metazoa; Chordata; Mammalia; Primates; Galagidae. The transcript is spliced from 3 exons. The record is from RefSeq and is a predicted model, not a curated record.